This is a long non-coding RNA of Capsicum annuum, 1063 nucleotides long. RefSeq lists it as uncharacterized. The record is from RefSeq and is a predicted model, not a curated record. NCBI's taxonomy places the organism in Eukaryota, Viridiplantae, Streptophyta, Magnoliopsida, Solanales, Solanaceae. The transcript is spliced from 2 exons.
GAGUCAUGUCCAGUGUAAUCUCAUACGUGAAAUAAAAAAAUAAAAUAAAAUAUACACGGACUUUGCCCUCCGCGGCGACGCCACAUCACAAUUUACGUGGCUAGGGCCGGUCACCUCCUUAAUUAAUUGACAGGACAGAGAGAAAAGAAGUGUAGAAAUUCUUUGUGGAGUCUGUUUUGGAAAAUGACUAGCUACCACAAUAACACUGUUUCAACUUUACUCGACUAACACGAAUUCCUAAAUUUCCCUAUUUUGGACCGCUACUUUUUGACAACCAAGUCCAUCAAAGAAAAAACUGUUUUUUUCCUCUGACUUGAAAAUGUGAAGAAAAAAAAAAUUAAAAAAGGAUAAAUGGACGAAAGUAUUCUUUUACUUCUCUAACCUUGACUAAAAUAAAAUAGCUAAUGUGAGUACAUAAUGCAUUUGAUGGGUGAUUUACAAGAAAUAUCUUAAUCUUGAUAUCUUGACUUUGUUUGUUUUGAGGGCAAAAUUUUAAGUUUGAUAAGUUUUGACUUUUGAUCUUGAAGAUUUGCUUAUGAACUAAAUAGAGGAACAACACGUGAUAGAAGGCAGAAGCAUGAAUUGUUGUCCUUAAUUAUGUGUCAAACAAAAUUAAUCUCAUGGACAUCCAUCAGGCAUCAACUAUCAAUCCAUCAUAAACAGAAGGAUAAUGAGUACGUGACCACUUUUGCUGGAUAACUCGAGUCCAAAUAUUUUCCAAUGCCUAAGAAUAUAUUAGGUUUUUGUCUGGAAAAACUUAUACGCACUCAGUGUAUAUACCAAGUCAAUACAUGCAUGUCAUGUGUUUGAAUUUAAAAUUCAUGUUACUUAACCAUGAUUAAUCAAUAUGUAUUUUACUUGAUUUAAUUACAUAACCAUCGUGGAGAACAUUAAUCUGGUGUAUACAUCGCGUGCGUGUAAGUUUUCACCUUGGGUGUCCAUGUCCAAUUUUAUUUUGCCAAGUCAUUUUGAAGGGCUUUUGAAUGGACCUGUUGGCUAAGCAUGGAAUGCCAGCUUAUGAUUUGCAUCUCUCCUAAGAUACCUAAGAUUAUGAACCAUUACC